Molecule: non-coding RNA, 137 nt
Organism: Canis lupus familiaris (dog)
Lineage: Eukaryota; Metazoa; Chordata; Mammalia; Carnivora; Canidae
Source: Rfam
GUCUACGGCCAUACCACCCUGAACGCGCUCGAUCUCCUCUGAUCUCGGAACCUAAGCAGGGUCGGGCCUGGUUAGUACUUGGAUGGGAGGAGGUGAGGGGGUGAGGAAGGCCGCCGAAGGCCCGGGUGCUGCAGCCA